Molecule: ribosomal RNA, 469 nt
Filed under: uncultured bacterium
Lineage: Bacteria
Description: bacterial SSU rRNA
Rfam family: Bacterial small subunit ribosomal RNA
Source: RNAcentral
AAUCCAGACUCCUACGGGAGGCAGCAGUGAGGAAUAUUGGUCAAUGGGCGCGAGCCUGAACCAGCCAAGUCGCGUGAGGGAUGACGGUCCUACGGAUUGUAAACCUCUUUUGCCGGGGAGCAAGCGUGCGUUCGUGAACGCGCGUCGAGAGUACCCGGAGAAAAAGCAUCGGCUAACUACGUGCCAGCAGCCGCGGUAAUACGUAGGGAGCGAGCGUUGUCCGGAAUUACUGGGUGUAAAGGGAGCGUAGGCGGGACGGCAAGUCAGAUGUGAAAACUGAGGGCUCAACCUUCAGACUGCAUUUGAAACUGCUGUUCUUGAGUGAAGUAGAGGUAAGCGGAAUUCCUAGUGUAGCGGUGAAAUGCGUAGAUAUUAGGAGGAACAUCGGUGGCGAAGGCGGCUUACUGGGCUUUUACUGACGCUGAGGCUCGAAAGCGUGGGGAGCAAACAGGAUUAGAUACCCUCGUAG